ACUGCGAAUGGCUCAUUAAAUCAGUUAUCGUUCAUUUGAUUGUAACCCCCAUUUGGAUAACCGUGGCAAUUCUAGGGCUAAUACAUGCGAACGGUCCCGACCCAGGGAUGUAUUUAUUAGACUGGACAAGCAAAAACCAACCUCAAACACAGGUGAUUCACAGUAACUGCUCGAAUCGCAGCAGCGAUGUUUCAUUCAAAUUUCUGCCCUAUCAACUGUCGAUGGUAAGGUAGUGGCUUACCAUGGUGACCACGGGUGACGGAGAAUUAGGGUUCGAUUCCGGAGAGGGAGCCUGAGACACGGCUACCACAUCCAAGGAAGGCAGCAGGCGCGCAAAUUACCCAAUCCCGACUCGGGGAGGUAGUGACAAGAAAUAACGAUGCGGGGCCUCGGUCGAGGUCUCGCCGUCGGAAUGAUCGCAACUCAAAUCCUUGCGAGACGAUCCAUUGGAGGGCAAGCCUGGUGCCAGCAGCCGCGGUAAUUCCAGCUCCAAUAGCGUAUACUAAAGUUGUUGCAGUUAAAAAGCUCGUAGUUGGACGUGAGGGGAGGCCGGCGGGGCACCAUGGCAUAACAUGGACCGCGCCGCCACCGCCUCUCCUUCCCUCGCGGAGCGCGGGCCUGCCCUUGGUUGGGUGCGCCCGCCGCGCCGCGACGUUUACUUUGAAAAAAUUAGAGUGUUCAAGGCAGGCCACAAACUCGGCCUGGAUACACAAGCAUGGAAUAAUGCAAGAGGACCGGCGCAGUCUCGUUUCUUCUCGCGUUGGUUUACACGGGCACCCGCCGGUAAUGAUUGAGAGGGACAGUUGGGGGCAUUCGUAUUUCGCUGUCAGAGGUGAAAUUCUUGGACCAGCGAACGACGAACGACUGCGAAAGCAUUUGCCAAGAAUGUUUUCAUUAAUCAAGAACGAAAGUCAGAGGAUCGAAGACGAUCAGAUACCGUCCUAGUUCUGACCAUAAACCAUGCCGACUAGGGAUCAGGGGACGUCGAAUUCUUUUUCGCAAGACUCCCUUGGCACCUCGCACGGGAAACCAAAGUGUUUGGGUUCCGGGGGAAGUAUGGUUGCAAAGCUGAAACUUAAAGGAAUUGACGGAAGGGCACCACCAGGAGUGGAGCCUGCGGCUUAAUUUGACUCAACACGGGGAAACUCACCAGGUCCGGACAUGGCCAGGAUUGACAGACCGACGUCUCUUUCUUGAUUCUAUGGGUGGUGGUGCAUGGCCGUGUCUUAGUUGGUGGAGCGAUCUGUCUGGUUAAUUCCGUUAACGGUACGAGACCUUGACCUGCUAACUAGUCACGCCCAGUUCGCGCUGCGCGGAUGCCUUCUUAGAGGGAACGCUGGUGCUUCAACCAGACUCAGCAAGGCAAUAACAGGUCUGUGAUGCCCUUAGAUGUUCUGGGCCGCACGCGCGCUACACUGACCGCCGCAUCAAGUCGCUCACCUUGGCCGGCAGGCCCGGGAAACCUCGGGCAGACGCGGUCGUGCUGGGGAUAGAUCCUUGCAAUUCUGGAUCUUCAACGAGGAAUUCCUAGUAAGCGCCAGUCAUCAACUCGCGCUGAUUACGUCCCUGCCCUUUGCACACACCGCCCGUCGCUACUACCGAUUGAAUGGUUUAGUGAGGACCUCCCAGCGGCCCGCCCGCACAAGUC
This 1648-nucleotide ribosomal RNA is filed under the name Stylobates calcifer. RNAcentral's name for it is "SSU rRNA". It matches the Rfam family "Eukaryotic small subunit ribosomal RNA". The record is from RNAcentral. Lineage: Eukaryota; Metazoa; Cnidaria; Anthozoa; Actiniaria; Actiniidae.